Molecule: long non-coding RNA, 845 nt
Organism: Oryzias melastigma (Indian medaka)
Lineage: Eukaryota; Metazoa; Chordata; Actinopteri; Beloniformes; Adrianichthyidae
Exons: 3
Source: RefSeq, a predicted model, not a curated record
CUUUGGAGAAAGUGAGUGCUUGUGUCUUUCCUGCUCUGGAACUCCUUUUCUUUUUCCAGGUCAGAGAGGGGUGACUGCUUUUUUUGUGUUUGAACCAUCUGCCAUGUUCAGCUGCCGCAGACUACGAGGCGCAAUAUAUGAAGGUUCAAGUACCAAGACCUGAGCUCCAAAUUUGACUCUUAUAUCCCCAAACAAAGACGCUUCUUUCAACUCUCAUGAGCAGAAAACAUUGACUGUCAAUGGCUGAAAAACAACCUGAAGACCUGAAUGCUGACCGAAACAGUCUCUGACAAAUGGUAAGUAAAUACUUGAUCUGGAGACACAACUGGAGGAGAAGAAUGCCUUCUUUGAUCAGCUACUAAGAGACAAUCCUGCUCCUGGCCUAAUCCAUCAGUAGUCCACUCCCAGGUGGUCCAUAUCCAAUGCACUGAAGGAGAUCCAGGAAUCAAAGCUUCUCAGAGAAAACAGACACCAUCUGGACUCUAAAAGUGUUCCAGGAGAAUUCUAGGUAGCUCCCAGAACCUAAGAAGAAGUCCUUCAAGAAGAGGGCCAGACACUUUCUGUGUGCGAGGAACAAAAAAAGAUUAAAUGACAAUAAGCCUUGAUAUUACAGUGUCAGCCUCAAGCCACAAAUUCAUUUUUUUGAAAUAGUUUUUAAGUUUAAGUUUAGGCAUUUUAUUAAGUUCAAUGUUUUUUCUACUUAUUUUCUGUAAUUCCUUUGUAAUUGCUUUUUUACUUGAGUGUGUGGUUUUAAACAUUUUAUCUCUCAUUCUCUCUGUUUUUUAUUGUAUCCUUUCCUAGAGGUUUUCCUACAUUUGGAAGAGCUCCUUCCUCUGCAUCAUCAU